This 466-nucleotide ribosomal RNA is filed under the name uncultured bacterium. RNAcentral describes it as "partial 16S ribosomal RNA". It matches the Rfam family "Bacterial small subunit ribosomal RNA", at positions 28 to 523 of the family's 1533-position model. The record is from RNAcentral.
GAUGAACGCUGGCGGCGUGCCUAACACAUGCAAGUCGAGCGAACCUUUCGGGGUGAGCGGCGGACGGGUGAGUAACGCGUGGGUAACCUGCCCUAUACACACGGAUAACGUACCGAAAGGUACGCUAAUACGGGAUAAAGUUGUUGGAUGGCAUCUUCUAACAAUCAAAGCUCUGGCGGUAUAGGAUGGACCCGCGUCUGAUUAGCGAGUUGGUGAGGUAAUGGCUCACCAAGGCGACGAUCAGUAGCCGACCUGAGAGGGUGAUCGGCCACACUGGAACUGAUACACAGUCCAGACUCCUACGGGAGGCAGCAGUGGGGAAUAUUGCACAAUGGGCGAAAGCCUGAUGCAGCAACGCCGCGUGAGCGAUGAAGGUCUUCGGACCGUAAAGCUCUGUCCUCAAGGAAGAUAAUGACGGUACUUGAGGAGGAAGCCCCGGCUAACUACGUGCCAGCAGCCGCCGUAA